This is a non-coding RNA of Haemonchus contortus (barber pole worm), 75 nucleotides long. The record is from Rfam. Lineage: Eukaryota; Metazoa; Nematoda; Chromadorea; Rhabditida; Trichostrongylidae.
GGCACAAACUUGAAGUAGAAUACUUGGGUAUGGUGAGCUGAUCCUACUAAUCUACUCUACUUCAAGUUUGUGCUC